Molecule: non-coding RNA, 3847 nt
Organism: Rattus norvegicus (Norway rat)
Lineage: Eukaryota; Metazoa; Chordata; Mammalia; Rodentia; Muridae
Source: RefSeq, a predicted model, not a curated record
GUUCUGGAGCCUGCAGUGCAGCUAGGUGUGCACGCGCGGAGGGUACCCGGGACGGGUAUGGCGAACUGGUGGCGCGCGUUUCCACGGGCGGCGCGGCGCUAUCCGUGGCCCACUAACGUGCUGCUCUACGCCGGGCUCUUCUCAGCCGGUGAUGCUCUGCAGCAGCGACUAAGGGGCGGCCCAGCCGAUUGGCGCCAGACGCGGCGAGUGGCCACUCUGGCCCUGACUUUCCACGGAAACUUCAACUACAUGUGGCUGCGCCUGUUGGAGCGCGCGCUGCCAGGCCGCGCGCCGCGCACAGUCCUGGCCAAGGUGCUAUGCGAUCAGACUGUCGGAGGGCCAGUAGCCCUCUCUGCCUUCUACGUCGGAAACAUCAAAGACCUGGUGGCCUGUUAUAGUCUCAGCUAAUGCCACGGCUAAGAAGGUAUGAGCAUUCUCCAGGGAAAGGAUGACAUAUUUUUGGACCUGAGGCAGAAAUUCUGGAAUACAUAUAAGAGGUAGGCCUUUCCCAACGCAUGCCUCUGCCACCUGCUGCGGCCCCCAGCGACCCCCCCGGGGGGGGCAGCCUGAGGUCAAAGUGCUCAAGUGGGCUGUGGAAAGAAGGAAUGGAGAAUCGUGCAGCUGCUGCCCCACGUUACUCCUUGUGUCCCGCCAUUUCAUCCAUUUCAUCCAUUUCAUCCAUUUCAUCCAUUUCAUCUGCUGCUUACCCUGUGCUGUUGGACACCGCCACCUGCUGGCUACUGUGACACUCAGGACUUUCACCACAUGAGUUACUGCUUCAGUUACUGCUUUAGCUGGCUCACAAGCAGACUUCUCCAUGAGCUGCUACCCUCCAUGGUUCACCACAUUGUUCUAGCUUUUGCCCCUUAGACAGGCCCUCAUCAACCACAGGGUUCCACUUUCCUGCUACCAGGCUGCAGCUACAAUCUCCACACAAACACCGGAUUGUUAGGUCUAUUCCUGUUGGCAAGGAGUACCGAGAUUUCCCAAAUAAAGGCUGGCCAGCUUUUCUGAGAUUAUGGGAAUUUCCUUAGCUGACGUACUGGAUAGGACCUCGAUCAUUGGGUGGAGUUUCCCUCAAAAGCGGUUCCUUGCUCUGGCUCCUGCAGCUGACCUGGGUAGGAACACUUUCUGGCAGCUCCAGGACCACUCAGACACCUGGCCUGGUUGAGUACUACCAUUACCAUUAAUUCCUCCUGGGACACCAGUGUGGAGUUAAUUGAUGACUUCCCCCAAAGAGCUAUUCAUGGUCUUCAAACGUGCCUCCAAAUACACUGUUAGGAUGUCUUUUGGAGAAUUUCAAAACUUUAAAAUUAACACCUCACCUGAGUUCAUCAAAAUUGAUACACCUAUACAACAAUAAGGUCUGGACCCAAUAUUCAUUAGAUAAUGGUUCAAAAUGGCCGCAUAAUAGCACUCCAAAUUCCUCAAUUUUUGGGAUCUUUACAAUUACUGCCAGCAGUCUGGUAAGUAGAAAGAAAUUCUUUAUGCCCAAACAUUCAUAUACCUCUCUGUGUUUUGCUUCCCAUGGCAUCCUGCUGAGGUAACCUGUGUCCCAGGUACUGGCUGGUCAGUCCAGCAGGCCUCCCCAUCUCUGUAAUACCCUGCAUGCAGCUUCCCGAUUAGCCAUUCCCAAACCAUGCUGUGCUCAGUGCCACAGGCUUAAAUCCACCCAGUCACAGUCUCACAUAUGGCACAGUUUUCUUAUUUCUUAUCUCUAUUUAUAAGCCCUGUCAAAGUUAUUUAAGAUUUUUCAUCCCUACCCUGUCUUGACAUAUGAUCCAUACCUCCUGAGAAAUGCUGGUGAGUUUGGGAGCAGGACAGUCUUAAAACCAGUGAUUUUUGAAAAACUACAAGAGGUCAUCCAGGAAGAAACAGGAAAACCCAUUCCAAUAUUUAGAACGCCUUACAAAGGCUUUAUUGUAAUACACUAACCUAGACCCUGAAAACUCAGAAGGUGAGCAACUUCUGAUGACCUAUUUCUUUUCCCAGAGUUGUCCUGACCUAAAAGACAAACUUAAAAAGCUAUAGAAACAGCCCCUAACUUCACAGGCAGAAGUUUUGGCACUGGCCUUUAAAGUGCCAUGGGAGAAAUGAGAAGGCUCGUAGACAAAAGUACCAUAUGCUGGCAAAGGCUAUCUGACCAGCCUCAGCCACUACCCAGGACUCCUGGUCUUCUAAGGCUAAGGGACCACCAGGCUCCUACUACAGAUGUGGUCAACAAGGUCAUUGGGCAGGGGCUUGCCCUAACUUCCACAAGCCAAAGGACUAUGUUCUAGAUGCCAUCAAGGGAGACACUGGGCUGUCGAUUGCCCUCGUGCUGCGUAGGACAGAGGGACAUCAUGCCCAGGUAACACUCUAGGGGAUCUCCUAGGCUUGGCUAUGGACGACUAAAGGAGCCUGAGUUCCUUGGACCUGACCACUGCCAUCACCAGCAAGGAGCCCUGGUAACCAUCAUGGUAUGUGAGUGGCCCAUCUCCUUCCUCUUGGACACUGGGGCCACCUACUCAGUCCUAACGGAGUUUUGGGGACCCACUUCUCUCUCCUGUUUCUCUGUCAUCGAGGUAGGGGGCAACUUUAACUUCCACUCCAAAUCCCACUACUUAGUUACAUUUUUAGGGGUACACCUCUCACUCAUUCCUUUUUGGUAGUGCCAACAUGCCCUGUCCCUUAUUGGGAGGUGAUCUUCAAGCUAAGUUGGAGCCUCUCUUUUGCUCCACCCAUUUCCCCAAACUCAAGCUCGUCUGCAGCCCUCUGCUCCCUCUAGCCAGCCAACCUACUAACAUGAGCAUGUUACUUCCUUUACCAGCUUCUCAGGUAGACCCCCAAGUCUGAGAGGUCCAGAACACCCCCACCCCCACCCCACCCUGUUGCUAAACAGUCUUUUCAAAUAGGAUCUGGAAACCACUUUCUCUAUCUGUCUUUUCGUCAUGACAAACUGUUUUAAGAUAUCUAGGACACAUUCUGUUGGACAAAUUCUUCCUUUUGCUCCACAAAAAGCUUACCUUAAAGAAUGUUCAUGUUGUUAACUCAUGUUAUCUUUUUUGUAAACUUAUAAGCUACAGGAAACCCACUCAGACCUACCUCUCAUGGACCAAAUAGACUCCACCCAGAUAAGUACGUCUGCCUAAAGUUCCCACUUAACUACCUAUUCCAAAGGGUGGGAUUCCUCUGGGUUUCAAAUGUACAUCUAAGAAAAAUUUUUUCUCCCAAAUGCGCUUAAUCUUAUUCGCUACCUAUAAUAAAUAUAUAUGUGUGUGUUUCAGCAUCUUGUCAAGUCUAGGUGCUAACUAGACCCAGGACAGCUCCAGAGAAGCCACCUCCAGAUGUUCUGGUCUCCUCUCACAGACACAGACACUUCUAUUGGACCUGUUCCUUCUGACCUAUCCUCAGAUGGUUCCACAGACCUUGGACAACAAGGAAACAGCCAGCUCUUAAGACUGGACAAACAUCCCAUACCCAUUUUUCUAGGUUCCAUAGAGACACAUCGUGAUCUCUGACUACUUCCUGCUCCUCUAAUUAUUUUUUUUUAAAUUAGACCAAAAUGGGGGAAUGUUGGUAUUCUGUCUAAGCUCCACCCUCACAGCUACCUGGGAACAGCCAGGUAUGCUCCACCCCACACCCCACAGUUGCCUGGCAAUAGCCAAUGUGCCUGACUAUAAAGGGGGCUGCUUGCCCCCUCUUCACUCUCUUCCCUCUCUCACUCCUCUCUUGCUUUUCCUUCUCUCAUGCCCUCUUUGUCCCUGUCCCUUCUCUCACCAUCCUUACCUCACUUCCCUCCACGUGCUCAUGGCCAGCCUUUCCUCUCUUCUACUCUUUUUCUCUCAUUAAACCUCUCCAUGUGGAA